GACGAACGCUGGCGGCGUGCUUAACACAUGCAAGUCGAACGAGAUCCAGCCGACCUUCGGGGAAGCGAAGAUCUAGUGGCGAACGGGUGCGUAACACGUGAGAAACCUGCCCCAGACUUGGGAAUAACAGUCGGAAACGACUGCUAAUACCGAAUACCUUCGUAACGUCGCAUGGCGAAUCGAAGAAAGCUUUUGCGGUUUGGGAGGGUCUCGCGGCCUAUCAGCUAGUUGGUGAGGUAACGGCUCACCAAGGCAUCGACGGGUAGCUGGUCUGAGAGGAUGAUCAGCCACACUGGGACUGAGACACGGCCCAGACUCCUACGGGAGGCAGCAGUGGGGAAUCUUGCACAAUGGGCGAAAGCCUGAUGCAGCAACGCCGCGUGCGGGAAGAAGGCCUUAGGGUUGUAAACCGCUUUCAGCAGGGAAGAAAAUGACGGUACCUGCAGAAGAAGGUGCGGCCAACUACG
This 467-nucleotide ribosomal RNA is filed under the name uncultured Acidimicrobiales bacterium. RNAcentral describes it as "bacterial SSU rRNA". It matches the Rfam family "Bacterial small subunit ribosomal RNA", at positions 28 to 505 of the family's 1533-position model. The record is from RNAcentral. Lineage: Bacteria; Bacillati; Actinomycetota; Acidimicrobiia; Acidimicrobiales.